GACGAAAUUAGAAAGAGCGUAUGGUGAAUGCCUUGGCAUUAAGAGUCGAUGAAGGACGCAAUUAACGGCGAUACGCCUCGGGGAGUGGUAAAUACACAAAGAUCCGGGGAUUUCCGAAUGGGGAAACCCAACAGAGGUAAUGCUCUGUUACACUUCACUGAAUACAUAGGUGACUUGGGACAACGCAGGGGAUUGAAACAUCUUAGUACCUGCAGGAAAAGAAAACAAUAGUGAUUCCCUUAGUAGCGGCGAGCGAAACGGGAACAGCCCAAACCAGCAUUGAGCUGGGGUUGUAGGACCACAAUACGGCAGUCAAAACGGUUAGGCGAAUGGCAUUGAAAGGCCAGUCAUAGAAGGUGCAAACCCUGUAGCCGAAAACUUUUUUGCGCCCAGUGGGAUCCUGAGUACGGCGAGACACGAGGAAUCUUGUCGGAAUCUGCCGGGACCAUCCGGUAAGGCUAAAUACUCCUUAAUGACCGAUAGUGGACCAGUACCGUGAGGGAAAGGUGAAAAGAACCGCGGGAGCGGAGUGAAAUAGAUCCUGAAACCAUAUGCUUACAACAAGUCAGAGCCCGUUAAUGGGUGAUGGCGUGCCUUUUGUAGAAUGAACCGGCGAGUUACGAUAACGUGCGAGGUUAAGCAGAAAAUGCGGAGCCGCAGCGAAAGCGAGUCUGAAUAGGGCUAUAGUACGUUGCCGUAGACCCGAAGCUGGGUGAUCUAGCCAUGACCAGGUUGAAGUUUGGGUGAUACCAAAUGGAGGACCGAACCGACCCCCGUUGAAAAGUUGGCGGAUGAGUUGUGGCUAGCGGAGAAAUUCCAAUCGAACUCGGCUAUAGCUGGUUCUCCCCGAAAUAGCUUUAGGGCUAGCGUCAAAGUUGAGCACCAUGGAGGUAGAGCACUGAAUGUAUGAUGGCCUCAUCUCGAGGUACUGAUUCCAAUCAAACUCCGAAUGCCAUGGCUGUAUAUUUGGCAGUCAGAACGCGGGUGAUAAGGUCCGCGCUCAAAAGGGAAACAGCCCAGAUCGUCAGCUAAGGUCCCAAAAUCUAUGCUAAGUGGAAAAGGAUGUGGGAACGCACAGACAACUAGGAGGUUGGCUUAGAAGCAGCCACCCUUCAAAGAGUGCGUAACAGCUCACUAGUCGAGUGAUCCUGCGCCGAAAAUUUACCGGGGCUAAGCAUAGUACCGAAGCUACGGCAAUACGCAAGUAUUGGGUAGGGGAGCGUUCCAUGGACGUUGAAGGUAUACCGUAAGGAGUGCUGGAGUGCAUGGAAGUGAGAAUGCCGGUGUGAGUAGCGAAAUGACGGCGAGAAUCCGUCACACCGUUUGCCCAAGGUUUCCAGGGGAAGGUUCGUCCGCCCUGGGUAAGUCGGGACCUAAGGCGAGGCCGAAAGGCGUAGUCGAUGGACAACUGGUUGAUAUUCCAGUACCCGCGUACAAGUGAUGGAGUGACAGAGAAGGCUAGUGGAGCCACCUAUUGGAUGGUGGUUUAAGCGACAUAGCUGCAGUAUAGGCAAAUCCGUACUGGUGAGGCAAGGCGCGAAUAGGAGUGAAAGGGUGACCGAGUAACAGAGGAAAUGAUGCCAGCUCUCAAGAAAAGCUUCUAGCGUUAAUUGUAUUGCGGCCCGUACCAAAACCGACACAGGUGGGCAAGGAGAGUAUCCUGAGGUGAGCGAGAGAACUGUUGCCAAGGAACUCGGCAAAAUUACCCCGUAAGUUCGCGAGAAGGGGUGCUCGAAAGAGCCGCAGUGAAAAGGCCCAAGCGACUGUUUAUCUAAAACAUAGCUCUCUGCAAAGUCGUAAGACGAAGUAUAGGGGGUGACGCCUGCCCGGUGCUGGAAGGUUAAGGGGAGUUGUUAGCCGCAAGGCGAAGCUUUGAACCGAAGCCCCAGUGAACGGCGGCCGUAACUAUAACGGUCCUAAGGUAGCGAAAUUCCUUGUCAGGUAAGUUCUGACCCGCACGAAAGGCGUAACGAUUUGGGCGCUGUCUCGGCAGCAGACUCGGUGAAAUCUUAGUACCUGUGAAGAUGCAGGUUACCCGCAACUAGACGGAAAGACCCCAUGGAGCUUUACUGUAGCCUGAUAUUGAGUUUUGAACAGUCAUGUACAGGAUAGGUGGGAGGCUUUGAAGCGUGGACGCCAGUUUACGUGGAGCCAACGUUGGGAUACCACUCUUGGUUGUUUGAAAUUCUAACCUAGGAUCCUCACUGGUCCAGGGACCGUGUCAGGUGGGCAGUUUGACUGGGGCGGUCGCCUCCCAAAGAGUAACGGAGGCGCCCAAAGGUACCCUCAGAUUGGUUGGAAAUCAAUCUACGAGCGUAAAGGCAGAAGGGUGCUUGACUGCAAGACUAACAAGUCGAGCAGGGACGAAAGUCGGGCUUAGUGAUCUGGCGGUGCAGUAUGGAAUGGCCGUCACUUAACGGAUAAAAGCUACCCUGGGGAUAACAGGCUAAUCUCGCCCAAGAGUUCACAUCGACGGCGAGGUUUGGCACCUCGAUGUCGGCUCAUCGCAUCCUGGAGCUGAAUUCGGUUCCAAGGGUUGGGCUGUCCGCCCAUUAAAGCGGUACGCGAGCUGGGUUCAGAACGUCGUGAGACAGUUCGGUCCCUAUCUGUUGUGGGCGUAGGAAAUUUGAGGAGCGCUGUCCUUAGUACGAGAGGACCGGGAUGGACACACCUCUAGUGCACCAGUUGUCGCGCCAGCGGCAUAGCUGGGUAGCUACGUGUGGAUCGGAUAAACGCUGAAGGCAUCUAAGCGUGAAACCGACUCCAAGAUGAGAUUUCCCAUUCCUUGUGAAGUAAGACCCCUUGAAGACGACAAGGUUGAUAGGUCAGAGAUGGAAGCAUGGUGACAUGUGCAGUUGACUGAUACUAAUAGGUCGAGGAUUUCAUCAC
Molecule: ribosomal RNA, 2889 nt
Filed under: Erysipelotrichaceae bacterium
Lineage: Bacteria; Bacillati; Bacillota; Erysipelotrichia; Erysipelotrichales; Erysipelotrichaceae
Description: 23S ribosomal RNA
Rfam family: Bacterial large subunit ribosomal RNA
Source: RNAcentral